This 1607-nucleotide ribosomal RNA is filed under the name Salmonella enterica. RNAcentral's name for it is "partial 23S ribosomal RNA". It matches the Rfam family "Bacterial large subunit ribosomal RNA", at positions 1213 to 2802 of the family's 2925-position model. The record is from RNAcentral. Lineage: Bacteria; Pseudomonadati; Pseudomonadota; Gammaproteobacteria; Enterobacterales; Enterobacteriaceae. RNAcentral also lists the same sequence under 1 other name.
CUGAUGCGUUGUUGGGUAGGGGAGCGUUCUGUAAGCCUGUGAAGGUGGCCUGUGAGGGUUGCUGGAGGUAUCAGAAGUGCGAAUGCUGACAUAAGUAACGAUAAAGCGGGUGAAAAGCCCGCUCGCCGGAAGACCAAGGGUUCCUGUCCAACGUUAAUCGGGGCAGGGUGAGUCGACCCCUAAGGCGAGGCCGAAAGGCGUAGUCGAUGGGAAACGGGUUAAUAUUCCCGUACUUGGUGUUACUGCGAAGGGGGGACGGAGAAGGCUAUGUUGGCCGGGCGACGGUUGUCCCGGUUUAAGCGUGUAGGUGUGUGUUCCAGGUAAAUCCGGUUCACUUUAACACUGAGGCGUGACGACGAGGUACUACGGUGCUGAAGCAACAAAUGCCCUGCUUCCAGGAAAAGCCUCUAAGCAUCAGGUAACAUCAAAUCGUACCCCAAACCGACACAGGUGGUCAGGUAGAGAAUACCAAGGCGCUUGAGAGAACUCGGGUGAAGGAACUAGGCAAAAUGGUGCCGUAACUUCGGGAGAAGGCACGCUGACAUGUAGGUGAAGUGAUUUACUCAUGGAGCUGAAGUCAGUCGAAGAUACCAGCUGGCUGCAACUGUUUAUUAAAAACACAGCACUGUGCAAACACGAAAGUGGACGUAUACGGUGUGACGCCUGCCCGGUGCCGGAAGGUUAAUUGAUGGGGUCAGCGCAAGCGAAGCUCCUGAUCGAAGCCCCGGUAAACGGCGGCCGUAACUAUAACGGUCCUAAGGUAGCGAAAUUCCUUGUCGGGUAAGUUCCGACCUGCACGAAUGGCGUAAUGAUGGCCAGGCUGUCUCCACCCGAGACUCAGUGAAAUUGAACUCGCUGUGAAGAUGCAGUGUACCCGCGGCAAGACGGAAAGACCCCGUGAACCUUUACUAUAGCUUGACACUGAACAUUGAGCCUUGAUGUGUAGGAUAGGUGGGAGGCUUUGAAGUGUGGACGCCAGUCUGCAUGGAGCCGACCUUGAAAUACCACCCUUUAAUGUUUGAUGUUCUAACGUGGACCCGUGAUCCGGGUUGCGGACAGUGUCUGGUGGGUAGUUUGACUGGGGCGGUCUCCUCCUAAAGAGUAACGGAGGAGCACGAAGGUUGGCUAAUCCUGGUCGGACAUCAGGAGGUUAGUGCAAUGGCAUAAGCCAGCUUGACUGCGAGCGUGACGGCGCGAGCAGGUGCGAAAGCAGGUCAUAGUGAUCCGGUGGUUCUGAAUGGAAGGGCCAUCGCUCAACGGAUAAAAGGUACUCCGGGGAUAACAGGCUGAUACCGCCCAAGAGUUCAUAUCGACGGCGGUGUUUGGCACCUCGAUGUCGGCUCAUCACAUCCUGGGGCUGAAGUAGGUCCCAAGGGUAUGGCUGUUCGCCAUUUAAAGUGGUACGCGAGCUGGGUUUAGAACGUCGUGAGACAGUUCGGUCCCUAUCUGCCGUGGGCGCUGGAGAACUGAGGGGGGCUGCUCCUAGUACGAGAGGACCGGAGUGGACGCAUCACUGGUGUUCGGGUUGUCAUGCCAAUGGCACUGCCCGGUAGCUAAAUGCGGAAGAGAUAAGUGCUGAAAGCAUCUAAGCACGAAACUUGCCCCGA